AAUUUCAUUCACCCCUACAGAAUCCAGGCUUGGAACCUCAAGGCCUGAGGCAGGUUUCUCAAUCCUAUCAGUAGUUGGCCGAUCUGAAGCAUUAAUAAGGGAAGGUUCUCGACUCCCAAGCAACAUUUGCUCAGUUCCAUGUGUUAAGCUCCUCAUUUGCUCUGUUGAGAUACUAGAUGUGUGACUAGAUUGAGUGGAUCCUACUCCAGGGCCAGUAGCUUGCCUGCUUUUUGGAGAACUGGUUUCUUCUCCCUCACUAUCCGAAAAUACAUCAUCUUCAUUCUCGGCAACUUUUUUUCGGUUGGAAUAAGUCUCAACUCCACCACUUGGUUUCAGAGUAUAACCUGUACUUGUAGUACCAUCAGAUCCUUUGGUGGCAGAAUCACCUUUAGAACUUGUUGGCAAAGUACCAUCAUAAUCUAUCAUCACAACUUCAACUUGAAACCCUGGUGAAGGCAGUUUUCUCUUGUCAAAACCAUCAAGAUCAGACGCAUUUAGUGUUUUUCUAUUCUCGGUCAUCGUUGUAUUUAACCAACAGUAGAAAU
This 545-nucleotide unclassified non-coding RNA is filed under the name Hevea brasiliensis (rubber tree). The record is from RNAcentral. Lineage: Eukaryota; Viridiplantae; Streptophyta; Magnoliopsida; Malpighiales; Euphorbiaceae.